GUCUACGGCCACGCCACCCUGAACAAGCCCACUCCCGUCUGAUCUCGGAGGCUAAGCAGGGUCGGGCCUGGUUAGUACUUGGACGGGAGACCACCUAGAAAGACCAGGUGCUGUAGGUG
This 119-nucleotide ribosomal RNA is filed under the name Pteropus alecto (black flying fox). The record is from RNAcentral. Lineage: Eukaryota; Metazoa; Chordata; Mammalia; Chiroptera; Pteropodidae.